GGUAUCUUAGCUCAGUUGGUAGAGCAACGGACUGAAAAUCCGUGUGUCCCCAGUUCGAUUCUGGGAGAUACCA
This 73-nucleotide transfer RNA is filed under the name Candidatus Walczuchella monophlebidarum. RNAcentral's name for it is "tRNA-Phe (GAA) (tRNA-Phe-GAA-1-1)". It matches the Rfam family "tRNA". From Rfam's summary of the family: Transfer RNA (tRNA) molecules are approximately 80 nucleotides in length. The record is from Rfam by way of RNAcentral. Lineage: Bacteria; Pseudomonadati; Bacteroidota; Flavobacteriia; Flavobacteriales.